UAUAGUGAAUUUAACCAUCCGACUUUAUUUGAAUUCAAAAAUUAAAAUCAUAUUUAAAUUUAUAAUUUGGUAAAAUAUGUGAAAUUAGAAUAUUAAAAUUAAAGAUUUAAAAAUAUAUUUUGAUCAUUCAAUAUUAAUUUAUUAAAUAUGUUGUUAACAAAAAGAUUUUAUUUAUAAGACUAUCUGUGAAGUGCUAACAAUUAUUAUUAGUGAUGUGAAGGGUAUUUCAGUAACUAUACAUGAACCGACAAAGUAAGGGGUGAGACUAAACCAACAAACAUAUUUGCUUAUAAUAAUAAGAAUAAGAAUAAGAAUAAGAAUAGGUAUAUAGUGUGAGAGAGAAAAAAAAAA
Molecule: long non-coding RNA, 351 nt
Filed under: Ananas comosus (pineapple)
Lineage: Eukaryota; Viridiplantae; Streptophyta; Magnoliopsida; Poales; Bromeliaceae
Description: long non-coding RNA (ACOM_LNC017692)
Source: RNAcentral